AUGUUCGUCCAGAAGACGCCGACGGCCGCCGGCUUCGAGGGCGUUCCCUUCAUCCCAUCGCUCCAGGCGGAGGAGCUCGUCAGGGCCAGGGCGGAGGAGGCGUCGUCGAUCGUCAAGGCUGGGUGCGGCUCCAAGAGGAAGGCGGAGGAGGAUGGCGACGAGGUCACCGUCAAGGCCAUGGCGGCGGCGGAGGAGGAGGCAGCUUUCACCACCCUCAAGGCCAAGGAGGAGGAGGAGGCGCCGGUCACCGUAAUGGCCCAGGAGGCGGUGCAGGUCAAGUUGGUGCUGACCAAGCCGACGUGGUCCGAUGUGGAGUACUCGGACUGCGACUCGGACGAAGAGGUCGACUCGGACGACGAAGAUGCCGAGACGUUCCUGGCCAGGAUCAGGGAUGAGUACAACGCCCACGCCGAGAAGCUCAAGGCUGACAAUCCCUGGUUGAAGUGGAGGGACUACUCGACCAACCCCAGGCAGGAGGAGGAGGCUGGCGCCGUGGUUGAUGGGCUUGGUUCCGUGUGA
Molecule: ribosomal RNA, 519 nt
Filed under: Triticum aestivum (bread wheat)
Lineage: Eukaryota; Viridiplantae; Streptophyta; Magnoliopsida; Poales; Poaceae
Description: partial small subunit ribosomal RNA
Source: RNAcentral